AUAUGGCUCAGUGGUAGAGCAUCUGUUCAGCAGGCAGAAGGUUCCAGGUUCAAUCCCUGGCAUCUCUA
This 68-nucleotide transfer RNA is filed under the name Sphaerodactylus townsendi. RNAcentral describes it as "tRNA-Ala". It matches the Rfam family "tRNA". Rfam says of the family: Transfer RNA (tRNA) molecules are approximately 80 nucleotides in length. Their secondary structure includes four short double-helical elements and three loops (D, anti-codon, and T loops). The record is from RNAcentral. Lineage: Eukaryota; Metazoa; Chordata; Lepidosauria; Squamata; Sphaerodactylidae.